CGGAGGGUGCAAGCGUUGUUCGGAAUUACUGGGCGUAAAGCGCGUGUAGGCGGCCGAUUAAGUCUGGUGUGAAAGCCCGGGGCUCACCCCCGGAAGUGCGCUGGAAACUGGUCGGCUAGAGUAUGGGAGAGGAAAGUGGAAUUCCCGGUGUAGCGGUGAAAGGCGUAGAUAUCGGGAGGAACACCAGCGGCGAAGGCGGCUUUCUGGACCAAUACUGACGCUGAGACGCGAAAGCGUGGGGAGCAAACAGGAUUAGAUACCCUGGUGGUCCACGCCGUAAACGAUGAGUACUGGGUGUCGCGGGUAGUUGACCCCUGCGGUGCCGUAGCUAACGCGUUAAGUACUCCGCCUGGGGAUUACGGUCGCAAGAUUA
This 373-nucleotide ribosomal RNA is filed under the name uncultured organism. Its description in RNAcentral is "bacterial SSU rRNA". It matches the Rfam family "Bacterial small subunit ribosomal RNA", at positions 526 to 896 of the family's 1533-position model. The record is from RNAcentral.